Long non-coding RNA from Pseudophryne corroboree (corroboree frog), 590 nucleotides. RefSeq lists it as uncharacterized. The transcript has 2 exons. Lineage: Eukaryota; Metazoa; Chordata; Amphibia; Anura; Myobatrachidae. The record is from RefSeq and is a predicted model, not a curated record.
AGCAAGGAAACGUCUAAGCUCUAGGGCCCACGUCAGGAACGCUUUUAGCUUGGCAGAGAAUAAUCAGAACUUCAGAUGCCGGCCCACCCCUACCCUCCCGUCCUCUGUGGCUGUGCCAGGCCCCAAUACUGGCCCAUUUCUCUCAUGCUGAACAUCUCUUCUCAGUAUCUCAGCAACAGCGAAACCAUGAAAUCCCCUCAGAACCGAAACAAAAGGAUCCGGAAAGAGUAGAAAACAUGGAGAGUGAGAGCAGGAACCGUCGGUCAUAGAGCCAGGAAAAGGAGUCUGACCUAGAGGACCAGGAAGAACAUCUCCAGAUACCAGGACAAUAUGUCCUUUCCUGAGCUCCGCCAGCACUUACAGCAUACACUUCUGCACACGUCACGAGGUCUCUCUCGCAGCAGCGGUGAGACCCCGAGGUUGGAGAUCGAAACCAGGCCAUCCGAAGAGAACUACUCAUCAUGCAGGCACACAUUCUGGCCCUGCUGGACAAUGUCCAAAAUUUGUUACAUUUAUUUUGAUUUUGUUAAAUAUCAUUAUUAUGUUAUUUUUAUUUAUGGUUAUUAUGAAAAGUAAACUUUCAAAACUUA